This is a long non-coding RNA of Centrocercus urophasianus (Greater sage-grouse), 2371 nucleotides long. RefSeq lists it as uncharacterized. The transcript is spliced from 3 exons. NCBI's taxonomy places the organism in Eukaryota, Metazoa, Chordata, Aves, Galliformes, Phasianidae. The record is from RefSeq and is a predicted model, not a curated record.
AGAAGCCCAGUUUUUUCACUAUGUCUUCAUAGGAGAGGUACUUCAGUCUUUGGAUCAUUUCUGUGGCCCUCCUCUGUACUCUCUCCAAAAGCUCCACAUCUUUUCUGUGGUGAGAUGGGAUGUCUACCAUUAGUGCUGAAACACUGCAAAGGAGAAUCACAACUAACUGGCUGAAGUAUGAAAAUUGCUGAAGGGCAUUUUCUAUCACACUUUGGGCAGCUGCACAUGAAAUUGAUGGAAAAUUACCUUUCCAAGGAGGAGCUGUUGACUCCCGUGAGGGUGGAGAAGCCUUGCAGAGAGAUCUUGAGAAAUUAAAGGACUGAGCAGUCACCAACUGCAUGAAGUUCAGCAAGAGCAAGUGCCAGAUUCUGCAUCUGGAAUGGGACAGUUCUGGCUAUAUGUGCAGACUGGGGGACAAGAGGCUGGAGAGCAACCACGCAGAAAGCGACCUGUGGUUUUGGCAGAUGGCAGAGUUGAAUGUGAGUCAGCAGUGUGUCCUGUCAUCCCAAAGAGCCAACCGUACCCUGGAAAGGGUCAGGGUAGUGAUCAAGUUGUCAGAAGCAUGCUUUCUCCCUUACAAGAAUUAAUGUCCCUCUGUAUCAGAUAGAUAUCAGUGAUGCAAACAGGGAAAAACCUGUCUUAACCAGAUAACCCUGAUAUCUCUGUCUCCAUACCCAAAGUUCAGAGGGAUUGAAGUUAUCAGAUAUCCAAGUAACUCUUAACAAUGAGAAGCAGACGUACCAAACACUCUAGCCAAGACCACAAGCCAAACUAAUUUAUGCCUCUCUUGAAGAUGUAGAGAUCAUGUGGACAAGUAUGUAUCAUCUCUUCACUCAUUUGGCCUGAUCAAAGUUGAGAUAAAGUCCAAAUAACUUUGUCCUCUUUCAAUUAAUUAAAAACUUCCAAUCUGAAGUUUUCUCUUCGAAAACAGGAUAACCUAGGGAGCUCUGUUUUGGUUACCCAUGUUUCCAAAUUAACAGAAAAUAGACUUUUGGCAACAUGAAUAAUGUGUUUUUGUCCCAGAAGACAUUGCUCUGGCAUUUUGUUGACAAAAACUUCCCUAUGUAGUUUUGAGACUGCUAGCAAUUGCAUUGCAGUACCAGGAUAAGAGUUGUCUUUCAGUCAGUCAUUUUUCUGCUAACCUAGUGCCUCUCUGAGAGCACAGGUUUUUUUCUCUUCUAUUGCAAAUUGUUGAACCUUAAAAAAUUAAUUGCGUAUACACUAGUGAUCACUUCCAUAGAUAGAGCCUGAGGCAAAAUACACAGAUGAAAAAAUAUGGAAUUUCCUCUGACAUUUUCUGGCUAAUGCUAUCCAUGAAAUUACAAAUAAAAUCACCAGGGCCAGUUGCUCAUUUUAUAUGUGCCCUUCCAAUCAAAUCAGAUAUUAAAGUCUCCUUCCACCAAAGUUUUCUCAGUUCAGACAAAAUUUCUGCAGAGCAGAGUUAUUCAGAUAAUACUAAUAUUUUAGUCCACAUUUGUUUCUAACAAUCUACAUACAGGUAAUUUCUGUAUUAUUUUUUUUUUUUGCUGCUGAACCAACUCUACAUUUUGUUCGCCAGCCUUUGUUUGCUAUAUAUUCAUCCUUAGAAGGUGGUGUAGAGACUUCUACAAAUGUGGUGGUACAGGCUCAAGCAUUGUAUGCUACAGGAAUCCCCUAAGGUGUAGAAUUGGUGCAGAAAGCUCUGACACAAUUCAAAAAGAAAGGAACAUGGAAACAAGCAAAAAUAACAUUUAACUCCAGUAGACCUCAGCGUCUGAAACUUCUCAUUUGUAAUGAAAUAGUUCUCCUUAAGAACAAUCCAAAAAUCAGGUGGGGAAACCUAGAGCUGAUAUCUGACCUGUCAGCACUGCUUACCAAAUUCAAGUCUCAACCAGCCCAAUACUGAAUAGGGCUAAAUCUUAACUCUAGACAUCUUACCCUGCCAGGACCUAGCCUAAUACCUUGAAAUAUAACAUUCAGUUAUUCACCUUGCAUAAUACUGGAUUCAUAACAGAUAGUAAGGGAUCUAAGUCUUUAGAUAUAUAUUUUUUUCUAAAGCCAUAUAUUGAUCAUCAAUACUGAUGGUAUGAAGGCUCACUGGAAGAAAAGGAUUCCAUGUGAAGGAAAAAUAUCUUAAUCCUUCCGUAGCAGAGUUGCAUUGAUAUCUCACUGUUCCCCACUAAAAUAAUAUUCACUGAAAUCCUGAGAGUAAAGGUCUUUAUGAAAUGCUUAUUGAGAAAGCACAUAUCCUGCCUGUAAAUUUCUGAAAUAAAAUGAGUAGGCUGGUUAAAAGCAUUUUGAAAAUAAAUAUGAAAAGUUAACCUCAUAUGACACAUUUGAGCUGUUCCCGUGUUAUUCCAGUUGAAAUAAUUUAUAAAACAAGUAUUUGCAA